This 941-nucleotide ribosomal RNA is filed under the name Gyalolechia pruinosa. Its description in RNAcentral is "eukaryotic LSU rRNA". It matches the Rfam family "Eukaryotic large subunit ribosomal RNA", at positions 1 to 960 of the family's 3401-position model. The record is from RNAcentral. Lineage: Eukaryota; Fungi; Ascomycota; Lecanoromycetes; Teloschistales; Teloschistaceae.
AAUUGACCUCGGAUCAGGUAGGGAUACCCGCUGAACUUAAGCAUAUCAAUAAGCGGAGGAAAAGAAACCAACAGGGAUUGCCUCAGUAACGGCGAGUGAAGCGGCAACAGCUCAAAUUUGAAAUVUGACCCCGUCGGGGGUUCGAGUUGUAAUUUGUAGAGGAUGUUUCGGGCGCGAAGCCGGUCUAAGUCCCUUGGAACGGGGCGUCAUAGAGGGUGAGAAUCCCGUAUGUGACCGGCGAUCAAGCCUCUGUGAAACUCCUUCGACGAGUCGAGUUGUUUGGGAAUGCAGCUCCAAAUGGGUGGUAAUUUCAUCUAAAGCUAAAUACUGGCCAGAGACCGAUAGCGCACAAGUAGAGUGAUCGAAAGAUGAAAAGCACUUUGGAAAGAGAGUCAAAAAGUACGUGAAAUUGUUGAAAGGGAAGCGCUUGCAACCAGACCUGCCCGCGGGCGAUCAGCCGUCCCUUCCGGGGCGGUGCACGCGCCCGCGAACAGGCCAGCAUCGGUUCGGGCGGCCGGAUAAAGGCCCGGGGAACGUAGCUCCUCUCGGGGAGUGUUAUAGCCCCGGGUGCAAUGCGGCCCGCCUGGACCGAGGACCGCGCUUCGGCUAGGAUGCUGGCGUAAUGGUUGCAAGCGGCCCGUCUUGAAACACGGACCAAGGAGUCUAACAUCUAUGCGAGUGUUUGGGUGUCAAACCCAUGCGCGGAAUGAAAGUGAACGGAGGUAGGAACCCACCAGGGCGCACUAUCGACCGAUCCUGAAGUCUUCGGAUGGAUUUGAGUACGAGCAUAGCUGUUGGAACCCGAAAGAUGGUGAACUAUGCCUGAAUAGGGUGAAGCCAGAGGAAACUCUGGUGGAGGCUCGCAGCGGUUCUGACGUGCAAAUCGAUCGUCAAAUUUGGGUAUAGGGGCGAAAGACUAAUCGACCUUCAUACUGUCACGA